RNAcentral lists this transfer-messenger RNA (352 nucleotides) under Lachnospiraceae. RNAcentral describes it as "Butyrivibrio sp003625475 Standard tmRNA". It matches the Rfam family "transfer-messenger RNA". From Rfam's summary of the family: Bacterial tmRNA, also known as 10Sa RNA or SsrA, is named for its dual tRNA and mRNA-like properties. Its role is to liberate the mRNA from a stalled ribosome. To accomplish this part of the tmRNA is used as a reading frame that ends in a translation stop signal. Lineage: Bacteria; Bacillati; Bacillota; Clostridia; Lachnospirales. The record is from RNAcentral. RNAcentral also lists the same sequence under 1 other name.
GGGUUAGUAAAGGUUUCGACAGGGAUUUUGAAGCUGGAGAAGCUAUCCGCAGGACGGUGCGUUAAACCUCAACUUAAAAUUAAACGCUAACACAGAAUUAGCAGCUGCCUAAAUGCAGCACGUCGACCCGGGUGCACCUACACAUUCGGUAAUCGGCGUCAAACUUUGUAGGAAACGACAUAGCUUAAGCUUUGCGGCUAUGGUCGUAUCAUGAAGCUACCGAUUGUUUGCAGUUGUCAAUUACCGCGGCAUGAGGGAACAGGGAUGCAGAAUCCCGGAAUAAUUGACUAUGAUAGUAGAAGGACAGGGGAUGAGUUUUUGGACGCGGGUUCGACUCCCGCCUAAUCCAUAC